GCUGGUUUAGCUCAAUGGUAGAGCAUCCGCAUCGUACGCGGAUAGAUGAUGGUUCAAUUCCAUUCAGCCAGCACCA
RNAcentral lists this transfer RNA (76 nucleotides) under Citrobacter portucalensis. RNAcentral describes it as "tRNA-Thr". It matches the Rfam family "tRNA". From Rfam's summary of the family: Transfer RNA (tRNA) molecules are approximately 80 nucleotides in length. Their secondary structure includes four short double-helical elements and three loops (D, anti-codon, and T loops). RNAcentral also lists the same sequence under 1 other name. The record is from RNAcentral. Lineage: Bacteria; Pseudomonadati; Pseudomonadota; Gammaproteobacteria; Enterobacterales; Enterobacteriaceae.